GCCCACAAACCUCCUUCCACCCUCGGUCAGGACGUGAAGAAGGCCGCCAUCAUUAUUUACUUCCUCAACACCUGAUCCCUCUGUCUGAGACACGUGGAUGAGAUUCCUGAGAAGGAAGCUGGACGGUUGUUUCUUGGUUUGGAGCAGAGGAGGAAGUGUUACAUGUGGUGUUGAGAUGCUGGCACUGGAUCUCACCCUUCCUCUGUAUGACUGUCCUUCAUGUGAUAGGACCACACUUGUCACCGUCAUAUCUACAUCCCAGGGCCAGUCUCCACCUCAUCCAGAGGCGGUUAAUAAAUGCUCCUUCAAUGGAUAUCAAACAA
Molecule: long non-coding RNA, 323 nt
Organism: Pongo pygmaeus (Bornean orangutan)
Lineage: Eukaryota; Metazoa; Chordata; Mammalia; Primates; Hominidae
Exons: 2
Source: RefSeq, a predicted model, not a curated record